Molecule: non-coding RNA, 84 nt
Filed under: unclassified sequences
Source: RNAcentral
UGUUUUCACUCGACUCCCCGUAAACCAAGACCUAUAGGGAGUAUAAAAUACGUCUUUUUCUUACCCCCUCAUAUACCCGUAUUC